AACGAACGCUGGCGGCGGGCUUAACACAUGCAAGUCGAGCGCAUCCUUCGGGGUGAGCGGCAGACGGGGGAGUAACGCGUGGGAAUCUACAUGUUGCUACGGAAUAGCUCCGGGAAACUGGAAUUAAUACCGUAUGUGCCCUUAGGGGGAAAGAGUUAUCGGCACGAGAUGAGCCCGCGUUGGAUUAGCUAGUUGGUGGGGUAAAGGCAUACCAAGGCGACGAUCCAUGGCUGGUCGGGGAGGAUGGUCAGCCACAUUGGGACUGAGACCCGGCCCAAACUCCUACGGGAGGCAGCAGUGGGGAAUAUUGGACAAUGGGCGCAAGCCUGAUCCAGCCAUGCCGGGUGAGUGAUGAAGGGCUUAGGGUUGUAAAGCUCUUUCACCGGAGAAGAUAAUGACGGUAUCCGGAGAAGAAGCCCCGGCUAACUUCGUG
RNAcentral lists this ribosomal RNA (433 nucleotides) under uncultured bacterium. RNAcentral's name for it is "partial 16S ribosomal RNA". It matches the Rfam family "Bacterial small subunit ribosomal RNA", at positions 29 to 507 of the family's 1533-position model. The record is from RNAcentral.